AGGAUUGUUGAUCCUCGGUAAUUCAACCUUAUAGUUCAACAAGUUCAAGCCUUCACUGCUGCAGUACAACAACUCUAAUAUACCAUAGAGUAGCAACUAGAGGCAGUUUCUUAAGAAAUUCUAUCACAACAUAAUCAGCAACUAAUCUAUCACAAUCUUCCUACUGCUAGGAUCAUCAACAUAAUGUCAAACCUUGGUG
Molecule: long non-coding RNA, 199 nt
Filed under: Elaeis guineensis (African oil palm)
Lineage: Eukaryota; Viridiplantae; Streptophyta; Magnoliopsida; Arecales; Arecaceae
Description: long non-coding RNA (EGUI_LNC017904)
Source: RNAcentral